CUUAAUACAUGCAAGUCAACUUGACUUUAGAUAGCAAUAUCGAAAGUAGGGUGGCGCACGGGUGCGUAACGCGUAGGUAAUCUGCCCUGAGGUCUGACAUAACCCGUCGAAAGGCGGGCUAACAUCAGAUGAUAUAUAAUCACGACAUCGUGGAAAUAUCAAAUCUUCGGAGCCUUGGGAUGAGCCUGCGUCUGAUUAGGUAGUUGGCGGAGUAAUAGCCCACCAAGCCUACGAUCAGUAGCUGGUCUGAGAGGAUGAUCAGCCACACUGGAACUGAGACACGGUCCAGACUCCUACGGGAGGCAGCAGUAAGGAAUAUUGCUCAAUGGGGGGAAACCCUGAAGCAGCAACGCCGCGUGAAGGAUGAAAUACUUUUGUAUGUAAACUUCUGUAAGAUGGGAAAAAUAUUCUCCUCGGGAGAAUUGAUUGUACCAUCAGAGUAAGCCCCGGCUAACUACGUG
RNAcentral lists this ribosomal RNA (461 nucleotides) under uncultured bacterium. RNAcentral describes it as "bacterial SSU rRNA". It matches the Rfam family "Bacterial small subunit ribosomal RNA", at positions 47 to 507 of the family's 1533-position model. The record is from RNAcentral.